CCAGGUACAUGCCGACACAAAAAGAAAUACACAUCACCACGUUUUGAGUUCGAGAUCGCUGAUAGAUGUUGAAUCGGUAAUCUGACUUUAACUUAACCUGCGCACGAAAAACAAAUCGUACGCUGAGUAUAAACUCAGUGGUAUUUUUAUAAUCUGAAUGCUUAAAGUAAAAUAAUAUAACAUACAAUAACUUUAGUCAUACAAUUAUUCAAUUCAUAAAUAAGGUAUUUAUAACACAUCAAAUUUUUAUCAUUUGCUAUCCCAGAUAGCUUUUCACAAUAUGAACACAAAUCAUUUGAAAAACAAUAUUGUCCAUUCAUAUUCAAUUCAUAAGUACACAAACCUUGUGUCUCUAACCAUAUUUCAAAUCACCACUCAAUAUCAAUCAUAACACUAUUUUAAUCAACAACCCCUAUUAACAUGACACGGACUCAGACGGAUACACAGAUCCAACCAAAACACACCAGUUUGGCACCCAGUGACUUAUCGAUUUAAUUCGAAGCAAUAAGUUGACACCCAGUGUCUCAUCGACCAUGCCAAAGUAAAUUGGUACCAAGUACCUCAUCGAAUUUAUCCGAAGUAAUAAUUUAACACCCAGUGUCUCAUUAACUUGAAGUCAAAGUAUCCCUGAACUCUUCCAAUCCUAUGGCAUGCCAUCUAUAUCUGACUCAGCCCGAUACAGUUAAUAGGGUUUCAAUUCACUUUUCUAAUGCCACAAUUAUCCAAUACCCAAUUAUCACAUAAAUCACAAUUUCACAUAUAUUCAAUUCAAUGUAAAAACUUCUAACAAAUACCUUAUUUACUUACCAUAAACAUUUAAAUUAAAAUACAACAAAUAAUAAUUAAAUCCGAAUUAUAAAAAUACAAACCAGAAUUUCUGAGCUACUCCUCGUCGACUUUAUAUUUUCUUUUCUUAGUCAAUGUUUUUGGUACAGUUUUAGCUACGAAAAUUAAAAAAUUUAAAAUUCAUUAAUACCAUACAAUUUCACAUUGAAUAUUUCAAUUUUUAUUCAACUUUUGUCUAAAUUCUAAUUUAGUCCCUAAACCGAGACUAACUUUAUUUCUUCAAAACUAAUUCCAUAUUUUCAUUCAAUUUCCACUUUAGACUAAAUUCAACUCUCUAAUUUCACUCAAAUCCCUAAUUUUUUAAUUUUUUACAAUUUAGUCCCUAAUACUCAAAACUUAUAAUUUAUUUUACAAUUCAAUCCCUUUUACAUUUCUAACUUAAAAUUCUAUCAAUUUAAUCUCAAAUACUUAAAUUAUUCAACAUGACAAUCUGAAAGAGUAAUUCAAGUCUUGGAAGACAUGUUAAGAAGUUGUGUGAUUGACUUUGGGCUAAAUUGGGAAAGAUAUCUCCUUUUGGUUGAGUUUGCAUAUAAUAUUAGUCAUCAUGCCAUUUUGGGUAUGUCACCAUUUGAAGCUCUGUAUGGAAAAAAGUGCUGAAUGCUCACGUGUUGGAUGGAGCUCAGUGAAAGGAAAUUGGUAGGUCCUGAGUUAGUUCGAGAAAUAGUAGAAAAAGUUUCUGCCAUUCGAAAUAAUCUGAAAGUUGCCAAAGAUGGCCAGAAAGCUUAUGCUAAUCUAAAAAGGAAAGAUAUCUCAUUUGAAGUUGGUGACAAAGUAUUUUUAAAAGUUUCUCCUUGAAAGAAAAUUAUAAGCUUUCGUCAGAAAGGAAAGUUAAACCCACGUUUUGUAUUACCGUAUGAGAUUUUAGAGCAAGUUGGACCAGUGGCUUAUAAGUUGGAAUUACAACCAGAGUUAUUGAAGAUUCAUAAUGUGUUCCAUGUUCCUAUAUUGAGAAGGUAUCGAUCAAAUCCAAAUCAUUUUGUGCAGAUCGAAGACUUAGAAGUAGAACCAAAUAUGUCAUAUGAAGAAGAGCUUCUUCGAAUCUUGGUAAGAGAAGUGAAAGAGCUAGGAAAUAAAAGAAUUCUUUUAGUGAAAGUAUUAUGGAGGAAUAAUAAUACAGAAGAAGCUACUUGGGAAAGAUAAAGUUUAAUGAAAGAGCAGUAUCCUCAACUUCUCGUUGGUACGAAUUUCAAGGGUGAAAUUUUCCAAGCGGAGGAGAAUUGUAAUAGCCCGCCCGGCAGAGACUCGGUAUUCUGUUAUUGUUUGACGUAUAAAUGGUAAAUUAAGUAUAGAAUUUAGUAAGUAAAGUAUUAGUUCCGACUAAGUAGAGAACUUUGUGGGAUUCGUCAUUUGGCGAACUCUAUGUUUUGGCGGACUCUUUUGUUAAAUAUCCACCUAUCCAAAUGUUUUGGUCGAACUUGUUAAGUUCGCAGUUUUGAUUAGCUUAUUUUAUUUAGUGGUUGGUGACUAAAUUAGUUAUGUUUGGAUUUAGUUGAGAUUUAGUUGGAAGUGAACUAGACUAUUGUAGAAUGAUUAGACUUAAAACUUGUUAAGCGCAUUUAAUUGCGGGAAUCAAGGGUUUUAGUGGAAUUAUCUGAUUUCUCCAAUAAACAUUGUCUCUAUUGCUUGGUAUAUAAGAGUAUCUGUGGUUAUCAUGAGACACCUUUACAUCUUCUUCUUUCUUGAAUUUCUUUGUAACUUUCUAAAAAACCUAAGUUUAAAAUAACUUCAUCGAGGAGAAGGUUCCCAAUGUUUAGAUAAUGUCAAUAUUAGUACCAGCUUACUGGUAAUUUCUGGUGAACCCUUAGGUUAUUAUAGAAGUAAGCUACAUAUUUAUCGUACUACAUGCAUAGAUGUUAGAAUUGUUUGUGAGGAAGGAAAUUUACUGAUCCACUAAUACAGAUUUCCCCAAUGGACUGGACACCACUAUUGAUACUCUAGACAUCUCAAACUUCAAACUUCCCGACUCAACCAAUUUAGUAUUAACAUAAGAAUGUGAAGAUACCAAAUCUAUUAAAGCGUAAACAGGUUUUGAAUGCAAUAAAAAUAUACCUGUCACAACAUCAUUGGUAUCACCCACCUCACGGGUCCAAUACUCAAUUAUCACAUAAAUCACAAUUUCACAUACAUUCAAUUCAAUAUAAAAAAUGCUAACACUUACAUUAUUUACUUACCAUAAACAUUUAAAUCAAAAUACAACAAUUAAUAAUUAAAUUCGGAUUAUAGAAAUAUAAACCAGAAUUUUCGAGCUACUCCUCGCCGACUUUAUCUUUUCAUUUCUUAGUCGAUGUUUCCUGUACAGCGUUAGCUAUAGAAAUUAAAACAAUUAAAAUUCAUCAAUACAAUACAAUUUCACAUUGAAUAUUUCAAUUUUUAUUUAACUUUUGUCUAAAUUCUAAUUUAGUCCCUAAACCGAGACUAACUUUAUUUCUUCAAAACUAAUUCCAUAUUUUCAUUCAAUUUCCAAUUUAUACUAAAUUCAACUCUCUAAUUUCACUCAAAUCCCUAAAUUUCAAGAUUUUUACAAUUUAGUCCCUAAUACUCAGAACUUAUAAUUUAUUUUACAAUUCAAUCCCUUUUCCAUUUCUAACUUAAAAUUCUAUCAAUUUAAUCCCAAAUACUUAAAUUAUUCAACAUGAACAACAUCUAAAAAUCUAAUAUUUUCUAAAAUUUCAACAUAGGUUAAGUAGUAUUUAAUACUAGGAUUCUAAAAACAUAAAAAUUACAAGAAAAGGGACUAAAUUGACUUACCAAUUAAGCUUUGAACCCUUGAAAAUCCUAAUUUUUUUCUCCUUUUUCUUUCUUCUUUUCUUUUUCUUUCUCUCUUUUUCUUCUCUGUUUCGUUCUACUUUGUUCUUCUUUUUCUAUUCUUUUUCUUUCAUUUAUUUUAUGUUUUAAUUAUUAUAACAAUAUAUUAUAAGAAUAUAAGAAUAUUUACUUAAAUAAUAAGUAAGUAAUAAUUAUUAUAAAUGUAUGUAUUUAAAUGUUACAUAUGUCAUUACGAAUACCACACACUUGUUAAUUUGAGGUUUAAUUACUUAUUUUGUCCUUUCACUUUUCUCUAAUGUAUAAUUUAACUUUCUCCCUAUAUGCAAUCUAGUCCUUACACCUAAUUACUCUUAAAUUAAGAAAAUUCACCUAAUCAAAAUCUAAUUAACAACACAACUAACUUCGUAAAUAUUUUUAAUUCGUAAAUAUUUUUAAUAAAUAUUUACGAAUCUAUUUUCUGAAAAUAGAGACCUGAAAAUACACUUUUCGAUACUCGUAACUAUCGGGUCGUUACAUUUAUACCGAUCCUUGCAUGCAUGUUAAGUAAUCUGCUAUGUAGAUUUGUACUAGAUAUUUUUAUCUUUCUUUUAGCUCAAGAAGCUAAUAAGGGUCCCAGCGAUAAAGGCAAAGGAUCUGCUGUGUAGAUUUGUACUAGAAUUUCUAGUGAGUUCCUUCUUAUCUCCAUGUGUUGUAAAUUUCUUUUAUUAUAUAAAUUGUGUAAGGUAAGUAAUCUUUCUUUGUAAUGUAUGAAUGGUAAAUGUGUGGGUAAUGGUCAUUCAGUGUUAUCAGUCUGAGUUUAGUCAGUCUGUGUUAUGAAGUAAACAUCAUCUUUCAUGCUUAAGCUAGUACCAACAGUUUGUGAUAUGUAAGAUAUGAUCUGUGUUGAUGGAGAAGGGGAGAUAUGUUUGUGAUGCCUUCGGUAAGACAGCUAUAUUACAAACUGCACUGACAAAUCACAAGAAAACAUACUAUUGUAAAUGAAAAUGAUAUAAGGAGUUAAAGGGGAGUAUGUAUGUGAAUGAGACUGUAUGAUAUGCUCCUAACUUUGAAUUUUGGAUACGUGGCUGGCAUGAGGAUGGGUUGUCUAUGUCGGGUUAUGUUGGCAUACAAUAUCUGCCCAUGUGUUAUGUAAAUUGGCAUAUUAAAUCUGUCUGUGUUCUGUGAACGCUAGUGGGUGUAUUAUGAUCUUAAUGGUUAUAUAGAUGAAGGCCAAAAGCAUAAAGUUUGCAAGUUACUAAGGUCCAUAUAUGAACUUAAGCAAUUAUCCCGCUUAUGGAACUAAAGAAUUUGAUCAAGUCAUAUAUGAAUCAUGACCCAAAACUAAGAAAGUCACGACUUUCCCAUUGUGUGAAAGAAACCAAAAAGGGAUAAAAAAAGUAGCAAAGGUUGAAGUGCCUUCGUAUUAUGUUAAUUUGAACGUUUUUUCCAUGUAGUUCUUGUGUGACCACACUAAGCCAAGGAUAAAGAGACCAUCAUCUCUCACCUCCACUAAUUUAAUCAAUUACUCUCUCAACCUAUCGAAUUCUUCGUGUAAAAGUUCUCCCAUGUUGUGAACCAUCAAAUGAAAGAAGUAAGAAAUAAAGCGUGAGAGAAAAAUAAAACCCUUCGAAUACCCAAUUCCAGAAGUCAACAGUGGCACCAGAUAGAACCACAAGCUAACUUUGAGAGAGAACAAAUCUUAUUAGAGUUUUUCGAAAGGGUAAUUGUUAACAUGAGCAAUGGAAAAUUCUUAGAGGUCUUGGUAACAUUCCAUCUUCUCUAAUAACCAAUCUCUAUAUCGAAAAUUAGAUUUAACAAUCAUGUACUUCUUUUUUUAUGCAUUUUAAAGUGUCGUAAUUGCAAGUUAAAAUCUCACUAGGUGAGAAUAAGGUAGCAAUCUCUCACUCACACAUCACAUCACAUCAAUUCCAGUCAGAUGAAAAAGUCUAAAAAGGGUUCUAACCAAUAAGUGUUUGUUGCAAGAAGAAAUGGAUUGCCACAAAUAUUCAAAGUUCAAAGUAUUUGAUGCCUAAGCAACUUGCUGACAUUUGAAAAUUUUUUAUUCUUUCGUAAGUUUUCAAAAGUUAUAGCACAAGCUUUGGAAUUUUUAAUCUCUUUUUCCACAAGUUACAUAUUUUGGUCAUUGCUGUUUUUGUUUGACCAUAUGAAAGUACUUCUAAAUCUCAUUUUCUCACAUAUCAAAUAUAUUUAUUACCUAUCUUUAAAUUUUUAAUUUUAUUAUUCUAAUUUCAUUUUCUUAGAAAAAAAAUAAUCGAUAAAAAAUAAAUUAAAAAAUAAAUUAAGGUAAGGAGGGCAAUUAGGGUACUUGUAAUUUCUUGAAGGUUAAAAGAUUAAAAGAAAAAGAAAAGCAAAAGAAAUACGUAAGGAAAGAGAAAAAGAUGAGAAAUGUAAAUAUAUUUGUAUAAGAUAUUAUAUAAUUUAUAUAAAUUUUGACAUGUGUGAAUUUUGAUAUUUUAUAUUUGUUUCAUAUUUAUAUUAUUUUUAUCAAAGUUUAUUAGAAAUUCUUGUGUUACUAUGUAAAGUUUAUUUUAAUCUCUGAAUUAAAAAUUAUUCACAUUAAUUUUUAUACAUUAAAAAUUAUUCAAAUCAUAAAAUUAUUACAAUUUAUUAUUAAAUUAAAUUUUCAAAUAAAAUAUAUCAUACGAUUUAGUCAUGACCAAAACACAACCCAUAAAAAACACAAUUAUCUCAAAAAAAAAAAGAAAUCAUAUAUUUUUAAACUAUAAUUUUAGUCAUGUUUUAAAUUUUUGUGUGUAGCCAUGUAUCAAAAUUUGCAAAGUCUAGCUGACAGUGACACUAUUAAAAUAAGAUCUGAAUUUAUCGUCAUGUAAUUUUUUAUUAUAAUUGUAUUUAAGAUAUAUAUUUAUAUUUAUAUUUUAUAAAAUUUAACGCCAAUAGUUUUUUACAUGGAUUUUAAAAAUUAUUUAUUUGUAUUGUAUUUUUAUUAUUUCUUGUAUUAUAUCAUGUCCAAUAUUAUUUAGUGUAAUCAUUCAUAUAUAAUAAGCUACACACUAAGUCUGUCGUUUGCCACGGUCUUCGUUUGUCGUUUGGCACGUUUAUCUUCUUUUGGUUUUGUGUGGUUUUUACAGUGUUUUCUUCUCGUGGGGUUGUUAGGGGUUCUGCUUUGUUUUGUUUUCUGGUUUUAUGGAGGACGAUUUGGCGAAUCUAGCCUUGGCAGAUGAGGAAGAACAGGAUUUCCAGGAGAAUGCGGCGGUGAUUGAUCAAAAUCUACAACUCUGUUUGGUAGGACGCUAUUUGACGGAUAGUAUUGUUCAUUUUCCUUCACUUCGUAAUACUAUGGCAGAUUUAUGGCAUCCAAUUAGAGGCAUCUGCAUUUUAGAUUUGGGAGAAAGACGUUUUCUUUUUCAAUUUUUUCAUGAGGUGGAUAUCCGAAGAGUUCUUGCGGGAACGCCAUGGUUUUUUAACAAUCACCUGUUAUUACUUCAUAGGAUCCAGUCUGGCGAAAAUAUUUCACUUGUUCCUUUAACUUUCACUGAGUUUUGGGUCUAAGUCCAUGAUCUCCCUCCAGGGUUGAUGUCAGAGUCACUGGCUAAACAGUUUGGGGAGUUUUUGGGCCAGUUUCUGGAAUAUGAUACGUCUGUUCGGUCGGUAAAUUCCCAUUCUUUUAUGCGCAUUCGAGUUCAAUUAAAUGUGGUUGUUCCUUUGAAACGUAAAAAGAAAGUAAUGGUUGGAUCUGACAGGAUUUUCUAUGCUCGGUUUCAGUAUGAAAAAUUAAGUCUCUUUUGUUUUAUUUAUGGGAAACUUGGGCAUGGGAGAGCUUUUGCCCGGUUCGAAUUAGGAUUGAUCCAGAGAAAAUAGUAUUUGGUUGGGAUAUAUCCAUCUGUGCGGUGGUGAGGCGGCGCUCUGUCUCUGCUAGUCGGUGGCUUCGGGAAGUUGAUGGGGUCGACAGCAAAUGGAUAGAAAAAGAAGGGGAAUUUCAAGGUAAUUUUUUUGGAAUUUUGGAAAAUUCUGGGAAAUUUCGCUGGAAUGAUUGGGGUCAUUUUCAUAAAAAUCCUAAUUUUACUCUAGGGGGAGUUGAUUGUGUGGCGGGAAAAACUGGUUUGACUAUUUGGUCAAAUGGGGCAAAUCGAUCAAUUAAUGAGACGAUGGUGGGUCGAGGGCCCAUGGAUUUGAACUUAAAUGAUGAAAAUGAUACGCUUCAUGCUUCGGAUGGGAAAAAAUGGCAGUGUAGGAUUACUGAUUCAGUCUCUUGUUUGGGUAAUUUUUCUGAUGAAACAGUUAAUGAUUUAUCGACUGGCUCUACUGGGCAGAGCAGCUGGGCACCAUGAAGUUGCUAAGUUGGAACGUCCGUGGUUUGGGGAGACCUCAGACGGUGAAUAGGCUCCGUAAUAGAUUAAAAGCCUUUAAUCCCUGUAUUUUGUUUCUUAUUGAAACAAAACUCAGUUCGAAAAGGAUGGAGAUGGUGCAUUUGAAGUGUGGUUAUUAUAAUGGGAUAGAUAUUGGGGCAGUGGGUUUGAAGGGAGGCUUGUCGUUGGGUUGGAAUGGUAAUGACCUUGUUUCGAUUAGAAGUUAUUCAUCCUAUCAUGUGGAAGCGAUAAUUCAUGACCUUGAUAAUAGAGUUGCAUGGAGGCUAAUGGGCUUUUAUGGCAGCCCUGAUGAACGUUAUAGAUGGGCUUCUUAGAAUCUUCUUCGUAGUUUGGGGCAUGAUCAGUCUAUGCCUUGGUUGGUGAUUAGCAAUUUCAAUGAAAUCUUAAGCUCGUUUGAGAAAAAAGGAGGCCGCCUUAAAUCGGCACGUCAAAUGGUCGAGUUUUGAUCUACUUUAGAAGAUUGUUUACAUUAUGAUGUCGGUUAUACUGGUAGAUGGUUUACUUGGGAACGGGGGCGAUUUUUAUCUACAAACUUGCGGGAACAACUGGACAUAGGUGUUGCUACUCCUAAUUGGUUGCAUCUUUUUCUGGAUUUUUCAUUGGAACAUUUGAGUCAUUCAUUUUCCGAUCACUGUUCGUUGUUGCUAAAUACUAUGGGUAAGAUGCGACAAAAGGAAAUUUGUUCUGUUUUUCCCUUUCAUUUUGAAGCUAAAUGGUGUUUGGAUGAUUCUUUUGAGAAAGAAGUUCAGCGGGGGUGGACUGGUCAUCAUGGUAGCCUACCAUCUAAGUUAACACAUUUGGGACAUUUUUUCCAAAAUUGGAGUCGUUCACGUUUUCAUUAGCAAAAGGGUCAUCAUUUGAGCUUGGAAAAAAGGCUUUAUGUACUGUUGGAACAAGAUCCAACAAAUGAAAUUUUGGGAGAAAUUUUGGAGGUGCAACUUUGGUUGAAUUUUAAAGCAGACAAAGAGGAGGUUUUUUGGGCUCAGCGUGCCCAACUAAAUUGGUUUCAGUAUGGCGAUAGGAAUUCUUCCUUUUUUCAUAGGAUGGUGUGGCUCGUCACAAUCGCAAUCAGAUGCUUGGGUUGGAAGAUGAUUCUGGCCAAUGGGUUACGGGUACAAAGGAUAUGAUGAGAGUUGCUGUGAAAUAUUUUGAAAACCUUUUUACAGCUUCUGACUUGGGAGGUGAUGAUAAGGUGUUUGGCCUUGUUGAAAAAAGGAUCUCUAGGAAUAUGAAUGAAAACUCCUUCAAAAAUUCACAAAAUAUUAUAUUUGGCUAGCAGUCAAGUCAAUGGCGCCAUUGAAGGACCCAGGAUCUUAUGGUUUUCCAGCACUGUUUUUUCAGCGAUUUUGGCAUAUUGUUCGUGAUGAGGUAUCCAAUUUUUGUUUGGAGGUUCUGAACGGUAGAAGGGAAAUGGGCAAGAUUAAUAAAACACAUGUGGUUCUUAUCCCCCAAAAUUGAUAAGCCUAAAGAUCUUUUGCAGUUUCGUCCUAUUAGCUUAUGUAAUGUUCUCUAUAAGAUUAUUGCUAAAGUUAUCGUUGAUCGUAUGAGCCCUUUUCUAGGCUUCUGUAUUGAUGAAACUCAAGGUGCUUUUAUUAUUGGCAGGUAAAUUUUGGAUAAUACCCUUAUAGCCUAUGAGGUUAUUCACUUCCUCAAAAUGAAGAAGAAGGGUAAACAUGGGAAUUUUGCACUUAAGCUUGAUCUUAGCAAAGCUUAUGAUCGGGUGUAAUAGGAUUUCUUGGCCAGAAUAUUGUCCAGAUUGGGCUUCCAUCAAGACUGGUUGGUUCUUAUCAUGCAUUGUGUCUGCUCAGUCACUUAUACGGUGGGCAUUAAUGCUGAUGUUGGUGAGAGUUUUGUUCCGUCUAGAGGCUUACAGUAGGGGGAUCCUCUUAGUCCCUAUCUUUUCCUCCUUUACUUUCUUGUUUGUUGAGGGAGACUAAGAUUAAAAAUGAGCUAAAGGGAGCUCUAAUUGGUAGAAGGAAUUUCAUGCUUAUGAUCGGGUGCAAUAGGAUUUCUUGGCCAGAAUAUUGUCCAGAUUGGGCUUCCAUCAAGACUGGUUGGUUCUUAUCAUGCAUUGUGUCUGCUCAGUCACUUAUACGGUGGGCAUUAAUGCUGAUGUUAGUGAGAGUUUUGUUCCGUCUAGAGGCUUACAGCAGGGGGAUCCUCUUAGUCCCUAUCUUUUCCUCCUUUGCUUUCUUGUUUGUUGAGGGAGACUAAGAUUAAAAAUGAGCUAAAGGGAGCUCUAAUUGGUAGAAGGAAUUUCAUGAUAACUCAUUUUUUGUUUGCUGAUGAUUGCAUCAUUUUUGGUGACGCAUCGGUUGAGGGUGCUUGCUCUGUCCGUAAUAUCUUAAAGGAAUAUGAGUUGGUCUCAGGGCAAAAAAUUAACUUGGGAAAGUCAUUAAUCUAUUUUGGUGCGAAUGUGGAUGAGGCAGUCCGUUCUUCGAUCAUUGACAUUAUGGGUGUUAGAAGGAAAACGAACCCUGAAAAGUAUUUGGGUCUGCCAAUGAUGAUUGGGAGGAAGAAGAGAUGGGCCUUUUCAAAUUUUGCGGAUCAUUUUCGAAAGUGCAUUGCGGGGUAAAGUUUUAGGUAUCUUUCAAUGGGCGGAAAAAGAAGUGUUUAUUAAGGUAGUUCUUCAAGCUCUUCUGAUCUAUAUUAUGCAAUGUUUUGCGUUACUUAAAACCUUUUGUCAUCAACUUGAAGGAAUAUUGAAUAAGUUUUGGUGGGCUAAUAAUAAGACAUCUAAAGGAAUCCACUUGAGUACGUGGAAUGCGCUUUGUUUACCGAAGGUUUAUGGUGGGAUGGGUUUCUGUGACCUUUGUUUGUUUAACAAAGCCCUUUUAGCCAAGCAAGUUUGGCGAAUUUUUACUCAGCAUGAUUGUCUCCUUUCGAAAGUGUUUAAGGCUCGUUCUUUUCCAUCAUCUGAUAUUUUUUCAGCUAAAGUGGGGUCUUACCCUUCUUUUACCUGGAGGAGCAUUUGUAGUGCCAGGGAUGUGUUUGAUGAUGGUCUUCUGUGGCGGAUAGGUAAUGGGGCGAAGGUGAAUAUCUAGAAUGAUCCCUGGAUACGGGGUCCUGGAAAUGGUCGUCUGUUAGUUCAUUCUAUGGAUAUUAACUGGACCAUUCUGGAUCAAUUUUUAAAUGAAGAGUCUGAUACCUGGAAAAAGGAGGUGAUUUAUAGACUGUUUGAUGAUAAGCAAGCUCGGUGUAUCCUCAACAUCCCCCUUACUGGGAGUGGGUCUUCAGAUAUGCUCGUUUGGUGGCAUGAUGCAUCCGGGGAAUACUCAGUGAAGAAUGGGUAUAGGUCUUUGCUUACAAAUGUGAUUCAACAAACAGUUACAACUGGUCAUACUAUUGAGAAUUACAAAAACAUUUUUACAUCAAUUUGGGAUCUCCAGAUCCCUGCCAAGAUGAAAAUUCAUCUCUAGAGCCUCCUUAAGAACUAUGUGCCUUAUUUUUUGAAUUUGGUUCAAAGGAGACUGCGUGUUGAUUCUGUGUGCCCAUUGUGCAAGACGGAAGCGGAGGAUCCACACCAUUUAUUAUGGUAUUGUACUGUCCUGCGGCAGCUCUAGUUUCAUUUGCAACUCUCUCUGGACUUCAGCAUUUAUACCUCGAAUGGAAAAAUAAAUUUUGUAACUGUUUUUCUUGCAAUGGAUAUGAAUUCUAAGAAACUCAUUGCUAUCUCUUUGUGGGCCCUUUGGUAUAAGCGAAAUAAGCUUGUUAAUGAAGGCCUAAAAUUUAAGUUGCCGCUAGACGAAAUAAGAAACUCAUUGCUAUCUCUUUGUGGGCCCUUUGGUAUAAGCGAAAUAAGCUGGUUAAUGAAGGCCUAAAAUUUAAGUUCCAUGAAACUGUGGGUUUUAUACAGAGCUAUGUCCAAGAUUUAAGUUUCUAUAAAACUAAAGGUCUGUCCCCUGUUACGAAAAGGAAUGUUUUGUGGAGACCUCCUAAGUCUGGGGUUAUCAAGCUAAAUUUUCACGCCUCUUUUGCGAGUAACACUAAUUUCUCUAUCUCAGCUGUGUUAGCUAGGGAUUCCGUGGGUCAGAUUAUGGGUGCAUGUUCUUACCCAUUGUUGGAUGUAACAGACACUUUUGUGGCUGAGGCGAGAGCUUGUGAGAAGGUUCUUUGUUUUGCUUUGGAUAUGGGUUUUAGGAAGGUUGUCCUGGAGGGCGAUUCUCUUAAAGUUAUCAAGAAAUUAAACUCAAAUAUUGUUGAUAGAUCUGUUCUCAGUCCUAUUUCUCAGCACAUUCAGGUUUAGCUGGAUGUUUUGAAGAGGUUACUUACCUUUUUGUUCCCAGUGAGGCAAAUAAGGCGGCUCAUGAGUUGGCGAUGGUUGGCCGGAAUCUGAAAUUGCCACGCUUCUGGGUUGAAGAGGCACCCUUAUCUGUUAUUGAGGCGGUGGAGUCGGAUCACUAUGAGUGGUUCCAUCGUUGCUGAAUUUGUUGUGGGUUUUGAAGCUUGGAGAAGGUUCUUAGAAUCUCCUUGGUUGAUUUUCAAAGCCCUCCUCUUUCCGACUCUUGGAGUUCUACAUGUUGUUCGUUCUAUCGGAAGUUUUCUGCUGGUAUUCUUUUGGGUUUUUUGGCUUUGGCUUUGGUUUUGUGGUUGUUUCGUUUUCAUCUGUCCUUUGAUGGUCUACUUUCCAGCUUUUUGGUUUUGCUGCGUUGUUGGUUGGAUGUUGUCAGUCGUUGUCUUGAGUCAUUCGCUCGUUUUAAAUGAAUAUCAGCUUUAUUUCAAAAAAAAAAAAGCUACACACUAAAAUUGCUACAAGUGAUGCAACUAUGUUUUUUUAAUGUAAUUUAUAUUUUUUAAAAAUAUUUUUAUAUUUUUAUUAUCCAUU
Molecule: long non-coding RNA, 12765 nt
Filed under: Gossypium barbadense (sea-island cotton)
Lineage: Eukaryota; Viridiplantae; Streptophyta; Magnoliopsida; Malvales; Malvaceae
Description: long non-coding RNA (GBAR_LNC017300)
Source: RNAcentral